GGAGGAAAGUAGGGGAUCGAAAGACCUUGCGCUUUUGGAGCGGCCGAUGUCUGAUUAGCUAGUUGGUAAGGUAAUGGCUUACCAAGGCGACGAUCAGUAGUUGGUCUGAGAGGAUGGCCAACCACACUGGGACUGAGACACGGCCCAGACUCCUACGGGAGGCAGCAGUGGGGAAUUUUGGACAAUGGGGGAAACCCUGAUCCAGCAAUGCCGCGUGAGUGAAGAAGGCCUUCGGGUUGUAAAGCUCUUUCAGUUGAGAAGAAAAGGUUAUGACUAAUAAUCAUGGUUCAUGACGGUAUCGACAGAAGAAGCACCGGCUAACUACGUGCCAGCAGCCGCGGUAAUACGUAGGGUGCGAGCGUUAAUCGGAAUUACUGGGCGUAAAGGGUGCGCAGGCGGUUAUGUAAGUCAGAUGUGAAAUCCCCGGGCUUAACCUGGGAAUUGCGUUUGAAACUACAAAGCUAG
RNAcentral lists this ribosomal RNA (465 nucleotides) under uncultured bacterium. Its description in RNAcentral is "bacterial SSU rRNA". It matches the Rfam family "Bacterial small subunit ribosomal RNA", at positions 198 to 644 of the family's 1533-position model. The record is from RNAcentral.